UAGCUAAGUUCUUAAGGGCGCAUGGUGAAUGCCUUGGCACUAGAAGCCGAAGAAGGACGUAGGAGGCUGCGAUAAGCCUC
This 80-nucleotide ribosomal RNA is filed under the name Mycobacteroides abscessus. Its description in RNAcentral is "partial 23S ribosomal RNA". It matches the Rfam family "Bacterial large subunit ribosomal RNA", at positions 1 to 79 of the family's 2925-position model. Lineage: Bacteria; Bacillati; Actinomycetota; Actinomycetes; Mycobacteriales; Mycobacteriaceae. The record is from RNAcentral.